UACGGAGGGUGCUAGCGUUGUUCGGAAUCACUGGGCGUAAAGGGCGUGUAGGCGGUCUGUUAAGUCUGAUGUGAAAUCCCCUCGCUCAACGAGGGAACUGCGUCGGAUACUGGCAGACUCGAGUACCGGAGAGGAAGGUGGAAUUCCCGGUGUAGCGGUGAAAUGCGUAGAUAUCGUAAGGAAGACCAGUGGCGAAGGCGGGUCUCUGGACAGUUCCUGACGCUGAGGCACGAAGGCCAGGGGAGCAAACGGG
This 253-nucleotide ribosomal RNA is filed under the name uncultured bacterium. RNAcentral's name for it is "partial 16S ribosomal RNA". It matches the Rfam family "Bacterial small subunit ribosomal RNA", at positions 524 to 776 of the family's 1533-position model. The record is from RNAcentral.